Molecule: long non-coding RNA, 1323 nt
Organism: Peromyscus leucopus (white-footed mouse)
Lineage: Eukaryota; Metazoa; Chordata; Mammalia; Rodentia; Cricetidae
Exons: 3
Source: RefSeq, a predicted model, not a curated record
AUUCUACUAGAUUAUAACACACAUAGGAGUUCUGCUUUUCCACUUUCUUGGCAAACAUUAAAAGUCAGGCAAAGGAAACCAGGGGGCAGAUCAGAUGACCAAUGCACUGAAGACAAUCCAGUCCAAACAGUUUCCAAACAGUGUGAGCUGGCUUAACUCACACCAGCAAAUACCAGGGAACCUUCCAGACUUGUCUUGCUUGGCCCAGCUGUAGAAACAUCCCUUACAUCUGGGGACAGGCAGAGAGGAGCCGUGUAGCCACAGUGCAGGGCAGGCAUCUGGCCUGACCAGGCAUCCUGCGGCCUUCCUCCUCUGGUGCCCAGCUGGACACGUGACUGCCACAGCUGCCCUUGCUCUGGCGAGGAGAGAGGCAGGACCCACCGGGCUCUCAACCUCAAUGUUUCAGUCAUCGUAUUCUACACAAACAUCUCUCCAAAGACAAACCCCAGCUCCAUCUUCCUGUGGAUAGAUAGGAACUACCCUUCUCCACAUCCUUAGAACUCUGGCGAGCUCUUCAUGAGGCCCCCUGUGCUUCCAGAGACAACUCAGUGAGAAAUGGACCCCCUUCUCUCUCUGGCCCUUUGGGGGGAAAUGUGAAGGAAGACCAAGAUGACUCUCGGCAGUUAGACGCCACCGAUGCGACUCUGGACGGCGCCUCUUCUCGAGGCCUCCAAGUCUCCCUCCACGUGAUCAGACACCUUUGAUCCUAACUGGUCAGAAUCGAGUCUUUGGAAAACUAGGGAGGAACCAGCCCCACACAGGAGCCCAUCCCAUGCAGCAAUAUGACCAAAAGCCCUGAAUACAAGAAGCACAUUGGAAGCCACUAAAGAGCUUAAAACUAUAACUUUAACCAGAGGUUAAAACUGUAUCAUGAAAGACAUAUAUGACAAUGAGCUCUAAGCACCACGGUGGAAGACAUUAGGGCACACUUCAGGUCUGAGCAGGGUCUGGGCACACAGAAAGCUUCAAAUCAGCACAAAUGGCACCUGGUGGCUGCCCCUCAGUAGACACUGGAGGGAAACGUCAGGGGAAGAAGCAAAUUACCUAUAAGCCAACAUCAUCCCUGAGACUCUUGACUCUCCAAAAGACAGUCAUACUGGUGAUCCUAUGGAGUCGUUAUUUGUCCCAUUCAAGUAGGAGCAUCUUAGAGACUAUGGAUAAAAGCCAAGUGAAGACUGGGUAUAGGCUGGCUGCUUGCACCACUCUGCCCUAAGGAAAACUGAUCUCUCCCAUAGAUGGGGGCAUCCUCUGGCCACCUGCUCACCUCAGCAUGUAUUUGCUUUAGUAUUCAGCUUUUGUGAUUUUAAGACACGUGAUUGUUGU